GCAGGGGUGGCAGAGUCUGGUCAAAUGCGCAGGGCUUAGGACCCUGUGCCUUAGGGCUGCGCAGGUUCAAAUCCUGCCCCCUGCA
RNAcentral lists this transfer RNA (85 nucleotides) under Candidatus Burarchaeum sp. RNAcentral describes it as "tRNA-Leu". It matches the Rfam family "tRNA". From Rfam's summary of the family: Transfer RNA (tRNA) molecules are approximately 80 nucleotides in length. Their secondary structure includes four short double-helical elements and three loops (D, anti-codon, and T loops). Further hydrogen bonds mediate the characteristic L-shaped molecular structure. tRNAs have two regions of fundamental functional importance: the anti-codon, which is responsible for specific mRNA codon recognition, and the 3' end, to which the tRNAs corresponding amino acid is attached (by aminoacyl-tRNA synthetases). tRNAs cope with the degeneracy of the genetic code in two manners: having more than one tRNA (with a specific anti-codon) for a particular amino acid; and 'wobble' base-pairing, i.e. permitting non-standard base-pairing at the 3rd anti-codon position. The record is from RNAcentral. Lineage: Archaea; Nanobdellati; Microcaldota; Candidatus Micrarchaeia; Candidatus Burarchaeales; Candidatus Burarchaeaceae.